Molecule: ribosomal RNA, 444 nt
Filed under: uncultured bacterium
Lineage: Bacteria
Description: bacterial SSU rRNA
Rfam family: Bacterial small subunit ribosomal RNA
Source: RNAcentral
CCAGACUCCUACGGGAGGCAGCAGUGGGGGAUAUUGGACAAUGGGGGAAACCCUGAUCCAGCGAUGCCGCGUGAGGGAAGAAGGUUUUCGGAUUGUAAACCUCUGUGGACAGGGACGAUAAUGACGGUACCUGUCAAGAAAGCCCCGGCUAACUACGUGCCAGCAGCCGCGGUAAUACGUAGGGGGCAAGCGUUAUCCGGAUUUACUGGGUGUAAAGGGAGCGUAGACGGCAUGGCAAGUCUGAAGUGAAAGCCCGGGGCUCAACCGCGGGACUGCUUUGGAAACUGUUAAGCUGGAGUGCAGGAGAGGUAAGUGGAAUUCCUAGUGUAGCGGUGAAAUGCGUAGAUAUUAGGAGGAACGCCAGUGGCGAAGGCGGCUUACUGGACUGUAACUGACGUUGAGGCUCGAAAGCGUGGGGAGCAAACAGGAUUAGAUACCCGAGUA